UGAGUAAUGUCUGGGAAACUGCCUGAUGGAGGGGGAUAACUACUGGAAACGGUAGCUAAUACCGCAUAACGUCGCAAGACCAAAGAGGGGGACCUUCGGGCCUCUUGCCAUCAGAUGUGCCCAGAUGGGAUUAGCUAGUAGGUGGGGUAACGGCUCACCUAGGCGACGAUCCCUAGCUGGUCUGAGAGGAUGACCAGCCACACUGGAACUGAGACACGGUCCAGACUCCUACGGGAGGCAGCAGUGGGGAAUAUUGCACAAUGGGCGCAAGCCUGAUGCAGCCAUGCCGCGUGUAUGAAGAAGGCCUUCGGGUUGUAAAGUACUUUCAGCGGGGAGGAAGGUGUUGAGGUUAAUAACCUCAGCAAUUGACGUUACCCGCAGAAGAAGCACCGGCUAACUCCGUGCCAGCAGCCGCGGUAAUACGGAGGGUGCAAGCGUUAAUCGGAAUUACUGGGCGUAAAGCGCACGCAGGCGGUCUGUCAAGUCGGAUGUGAAAUCCCCGGG
RNAcentral lists this ribosomal RNA (504 nucleotides) under uncultured bacterium. RNAcentral's name for it is "bacterial SSU rRNA". It matches the Rfam family "Bacterial small subunit ribosomal RNA", at positions 107 to 607 of the family's 1533-position model. The record is from RNAcentral.